CCAGACUCCUACGGGAGGCAGCAGUCGGGAAUAUUGCGCAAUGGAGGAAACUCUGACGCAGUGACGCCGCGUAUAGGAAGAAGGUUUUCGGAUUGUAAACUAUUGUCGUUAGGGAAGAGAAAGGACAGUACCUAAGGAGGAAGCUCCGGCUAACUACGUGCCAGCAGCCGCGGUAAUACGUAGGGGGCAAGCGUUAUCCGGAUUUACUGGGUGUAAAGGGAGCGUAGACGGUGAAGCAAGUCUGAAGUGAAAGGUGGGGGCUCAACCCCCGGACUGCUUUGGAAACUGUUUGACUGGAGUGCAGGAGAGGUAAGUGGAAUUCCUAGUGUAGCGGUGAAAUGCGUAGAUAUUAGGAGGAACACCAGUGGCGAAGGCGGCUUACUGGACUGUAACUGACGUUGAGGCUCGAAAGCGUGGUGAGCAAACAGGAUUAGAUACCCCUGUAA
Molecule: ribosomal RNA, 446 nt
Filed under: uncultured bacterium
Lineage: Bacteria
Description: bacterial SSU rRNA
Rfam family: Bacterial small subunit ribosomal RNA
Source: RNAcentral